This is a non-coding RNA of Gossypium raimondii (Peruvian cotton), 105 nucleotides long. The record is from Rfam. Lineage: Eukaryota; Viridiplantae; Streptophyta; Magnoliopsida; Malvales; Malvaceae.
AACCCAUGAUGAGGACACCUUCUCAAUAAAUCCUUAAAUCUCUCUCACGCAUCAUAUAAUGUCUCCAAAUCGAUUUGAGCAAAAGAAGAGAUCAUUCAUCAACUU